UACGUAGGGAGCGAGCGUUAUCCGGAUUUAUUGGGUGUAAAGGGCGCGUAGACGGCGUAGCAAGUUGGUUGUGAAAUCCCUGGGCUUAACUCAGGAACUGCAACCAAAACUGUUUAGCUUGAGUAUGGGAGAGGAAAGCGGAAUUCCUAGUGGAGCGGUGAAAUGCGUAGAUAUUAGGAGGAACACCAGUGGCGAAGGCGGCUUUCUGGACCAAAACUGACGUUGAGGCGCGAAAGUGUGGGGAG
RNAcentral lists this ribosomal RNA (245 nucleotides) under uncultured Eubacteriales bacterium. Its description in RNAcentral is "uncultured Clostridiales bacterium partial 16S ribosomal RNA". It matches the Rfam family "Bacterial small subunit ribosomal RNA", at positions 524 to 768 of the family's 1533-position model. Lineage: Bacteria; Bacillati; Bacillota; Clostridia; Eubacteriales. The record is from RNAcentral.